CAAACUUUCAAACCAUUCCACUGAGCUUUCUGAAGUCUGGCCAGGUCUGCCCUAUUCUUGGUGACAGCCAUAUACUCUGUAACAGCUGCUGUAAGGAUGGAUACCUUGGUUUGCACGCCUCUGCAUGGUUGAUGACGCUCUCUCACCUACACCUCCUAAAUCCCUAAUUGAGCCACUCAAGGAGAUGGGGAUAGAGGAGAUAGAAAGAAACUAGGUAGAUAGUGAGGCUAAAAGAGUCAUCAACAAGGUUUCCCUUUUAACAAAAAGCAGCCCCCAAACCAUUUCUUUUCUAACAAAGAGCAGCCUAAAAAUUGGAGCUGCAAACAUAGAUAAGAAAAUCUGGAAGCUUGCACGGGUGAAUGCUGGCAACUGUGCCAAUAGAAAAGGGCUACCUGGGGGCCAGGUAUGUUCAACAUGGAGACUCUAUCUUUCCUUUUCUUUGUCACCACAUGUACAGUAAAGAAGCAGGCAACACGAUGCCAGCUAGGUAGAGAAACCAUCUGCAUAAUAAAAGAUUAGGAUGGGGCGGCCAGGUUUUUCAUGCAGUAUGCAAAUGACACACCUAGUCCGAACCAGUUUUUCGCACCUUAUGCAAAUGGCACACCUGGUCCAACCAAUCUUUCGUGCCCUUUGUAAAUCAGACACCUUUAUAGACUCCUCAAGCUCAUCUAUAAAACUCGUUGCAUUUCACCUUGGAACUGGCAGCCCGCUUCUCCGGUUCUUUCUCCGUCUCUUUCUCUGUCUCUUUCUCUCACCAAUGAAACUUCCGCUGUUAACCUCACUCUGGUGUGUCCGUGUCUUAGUUUUCCACGACCAUGAGACAAUGAAUCUCGGCUAUUUACCCCAGACAAUGACUGUGCUUCAGUGGCAGGACCCAUUUUCCAGAUGAAGAUGUUGAGGCUCACUCAGGACACAGAAGGAGCCAGCGGCAGAGCCAGAACUAGUGUCGGAUUUUAAAACAGGAAACCGGCUUUCCUUCUGCUGCAUUGCCCACCUGCCUUCUUUGAGUUUUAGCACGCGGCAAAAUCAGAACAGCCACAAGGACGGGCCUCAUCACAAAGGCUAAACUUGGAAAGGUGGAGUGAGUAUGCGGGCCGGGACUAGUCCUGCUCCAGGCUGCCAACAAGGCACAGAUCUUGCAGAAGUUCUAGGUGCAAUGUUUUAAGGGGAAGACUUACACUAUGAAGCUAGCCCAGAAGAGGGUGACUAGAGUACUGAGGAGUUUCUACCUGGAAGGGCUGUAAGGAAGACAACUGCUAUGUUGUGAGCGGCUCUAUGGAGAGGCCCAUGUGGAGGGAAGUGAGGAAGGCCUCUGGCCAACAGUCCAGGAGGAAGUGAAGCCCUCAGUCCAACAGCCUGUGUGGAACUGAACCCUGCAAACAACUCUGUGUGUGAGCUUGGAAGUGGAUCCAUAUUCAGUCAAACCUUGAGAUGGGACACCAUGCUCUGCUAACACUUGAUUGUGGUCCCAGCUAGGCCACUGCUGAAGUCUUGACUCAGAGAAACGAUGAUAUAGUAAAUGUUUGUUGUUUCAAGUUGGUAAGUUUUGGGAUAAUUUUUUAUAUAGUGAUAAUUUUUUAUAUACUUUAAAAUAACACAUUGCCCUAUCCUUUGGUUACACUUUUCUCUUGGAACUCUGCUUGCCCAUAUAUUACAGAAAUAUUUUUCAGAUCAUGGGCUGAAAGGUGGAUUAUGGAUGCAAUGUUUAAAUUUAGCAAUGUCAUUUAUGACUGUUCAUAUGAGCUUUGCUGCAUAAAAUGUUGAUAUUAAUUUGUUUCCCUUUAAGACAUUCUUAAUGUUUACCUCUCAGUAUUUUCUUUGUAAUCAAUUAAUGUAAGAUGAAUAUAGUUUGUAGGUUUUACCUUUCUUGAUUCGUAUACAAAACACACAACAUCCAACCAUUGUUAUUUAAAGAUUAUCUAGGAGGAGAUGAUGGAAACUCUGUUUUGGGCCACCUUCUUUACACAUUGGGUCUAUUUCCCCUAACUUGAGUAUAUAUUAAACUAGUGGGGGAUUGAGCUACAAAAAUGCUACUUGGUGAGAAUUUUAUUAAUACAAAUACUCAACUCUGAAGUUACGUUUUUGUGGAAAGUUAUCACUUUGGAAUUUGAAUUUUCUUGGAGCUAAGCCACUGGUAGUUGUAAAAGCUACACCUGUAAAUUUGCUCCCUAGAAGAUACUUUCGUUUAGUGACCACUUGUUUCUCUGUGGAUAAAUUCAAUUAUAAAUUACAAUCGAAUUGACGUUUUCAUAGCAUCCUUCACUCUCCAAGUAUCUCAAGUCCUCUGUGAAUUAUAAAGUAAUUACAGUGCUCAAAGGACAGUUUCAUAAUUGUGUCCAUGAGCACAGACUUUCCUCUAUGUUCGAGAAGGGCUCAUUCCCAGCCGGGAACAUUAAGUUGGAUUUUAUUGAGACUGGGGACUGCUAGUCCAGACAGCUGGGUGAUCCCCUGCGCUAUUUUGAAAAGUAUCCUGGGAUCUUUAAUUUCCACCUGGAUGGUCAGGGAGGUGAGAGAACGGCCCUCACUGGGUGUGACCUUGUAUCCCACUUGGGGUCUUGAACCAGGGGACCCCCAACCCCAGAGGUGAGACAUGCAAUAUGGUCAAUUAUACAACCUCUUAAUUAUUUUUUGCUGAAUCUCAAGUGAGUUCUCAUGGCCUGCUCUCUCCCGGGUGGGUUCAGAAGGUGGCCAAGAAGAAAUGUUAGAAAAUUCCCAGAGAGCCAUUUCAUGAGAAUGUUUUCUUUGGUUUAUACCUGAUACUGUUUUGUUUUUGUUGUUGCUUUUUAAUAACUUUUUUUUCUUUUUGUGGGGUCAUUUGCGUAAUACACAGGUGACGAACACUCAAGGUUAUUUGGUCGCAUGCCACCAAAUAACUUUCCUUUGGCACAUCUGCAGUGAAGGAGUCUUUCUGUCUGUCUCCUUUUGUUCCUCAUCAUCUAUUAGCUUGGCACAGCUGACUGAGCUGUUAAAUGAUUACUGCAUAUUUUGUACCUCACCUUGAGAGGCUUUGGUAUAAAAAGGUGCUAAUUAAGCUGAAGCUUCUGGCCCUCUUGCCUAUGUGGGCCCCAGGAAGCGAAGCAAAAAGACUUUAGGGAGCUGGAGCUUGUGUGUGUGUGUGUGUGUGUGUGUGUGUGUGUGUGUGUGUGUGUGUGUGUGUGUGUUUCGUUUUCAGCAUUUUGAGGAAUUGUUACUGGAACUUAUAAAAUAAUUGUUUUAGACCUUAUAAACACAGCAAAUUCUUCAAACUACGUAUGAGGCUGACUCAAAAAGCCACGUAAAGGUAGCUUGGCGAAUCAACUAACUGCUGACCAGUUUGUGGUGAUCGUAAGUCUAUAUAUGCUGGAUUUGGCGAUCGUAAGUCUAUAUAUGCUGGAUUUGAAUAUUUUCUGUAUUUAAAGAAAAAUAAGUACAUUCUAAGAAUAGUUGUCAUCUCCCUCUGUAGACUUGCCCCGUAGAUAUUUGAAAUGGGGAUUAACAUAUUUAAGAGUAGCAGGAAGUGCUAUUUCAUCAGUGUCUAGAAUGGGAGGCGAAUUCAGUCCCUGCCUGGACUUGUUGACUAGCUCGCUGGGUUGUGAAAACCACGGCAUUCUCCUGGGAAUUUGUUCCAGGGCACUGACUGCAUUUCUUCUGAAGCUAAAGCACUUAGCUUUGCUUCCAUGCCUUUUAAUAUAAUUUGUAGGCUUCAGCAGAUUUCUAAAGUACACCACUUGAUAUCUUUCACAGCUCAAGGUAAAUUCUGCAGCACGAACUUAUAGAAUUUUUUUCUUUUACCUGGGGUGAGAACAUACCUUUUCCUAGUGCUAUUUUUUUUUUCUGGGCUACCUUUCAUCUGUUUACAUGAAUUCCACUUCUUCUCGCUGUGUUAAAGAAAUCCCCUAAGCUGUCUACAUAGGUGUGAAACUUUUGGUUGUGAUUUCCUUGAAGUUAGUUGGAACUGGAACAUUUUUUUCUGUGUCCUGAAUGGCUCACACAUUCCCUAACACAGAAUGGAUACUCAGCGAACAGUUGUUGAAUCAGUGAACGGUAAUGGCUCAGUUCUGUCAGACAAUGGAUUGAAUUAUUUUUACACCUUUAAUUCACUCAUGGACUGAAUUAACCUACUCAUGGGCUGUUUGGGGCAUCAAGUGAUAUUUAUACAUUUCUGAAGAAUGUGGAAUCACCAGGGUUAACAGUGUUUGCAGGUGGCGUUCGAUUGCAGGGGCCCAAGGAACCACGGCUGAAUUCCGCAUGGACAUAGGCCAUUUUCCACCAGCAAAGUUAUGAGAACUUUUUUUGUUUUGGUAACUGAUGUGAAAUUUUCAGUUCCGAAUGACAUCCAGAAACUCUCCUUCUGCAGCAGAUGAAUGUUUUGAGGGAAUUUGAGAGGAGGGUUUGUCUUUUAUCUCUCACCUGCACGAGGACACUUGCAGUCUCUUAAGAGAUGUUCUCUUUUUGAAAUGGUGGAAGGACAGAAGCAUCAGCCAGCCCGUUCAUGCUUGGGGACAGAGAGGGAGCUCAGAGCUUAGGGGAGCACAGGUCACUCUAAUGAAUGACAGCUGUAAUAAUAAAGACAUGCCAUCCAUGCUACUUUUUGCAGAAACCAGAAACAUCCUUGUGAAAGUUAAAGGGAAAAGAAAAACGUGUACUUUGAGGGGGGUGUUAACGGGGGACAGGAGGUGGCGACAUAAAAGACUGGUUUAAUGUGUCUCGUUGUAGCCCCUAAGGCUUUACCUGACCCCAUCACUGUCACAACACCUUCUUCGGGACUGACAGUCUUGGUAAUUGAUGGGUUGGUGGGGGCUUUUUUCUGCAAACACAUUAAGGCAGGAGGGAAUACUCUGGCCCCCACCUCCCCACGCCUGGCACGGGGGACCUGGAGGCGAGCAGACACCAGGCCCGGCGGUGUUGGGGGCAGAAGGGAUCAAUUCUGUCAACCAGACUGCCCAGCUACUGUCAGGCACUGGGACCCUUCACCUGCUCCUUGGAGUCAUUAGAACUCCCAAAUCUCUUUGCAGGCCUUUUCUAUUAGACACAUACUCCCAUGUUUUGAUUUUUUGCUCCCAAAGUCAUUUUUUUAAAUAAUUACCUGCAUCGAACCACACUUACCAUCUGUGGGCUGAGAGCGGGCAAAUGAUUUAUUAGUCUUGGUUUCUAACGGUGCUGAGCAGCUUGGGAUCGAUCUUGCUGGUGACACACUCGGCAGAUGCACCGAUGGGUGGGAGGGUCAAUGUCAGGAUGAAGCUUCUUGCGGAGCUGACAUGCACGUGGGGACCCCAGGUGUGGUGUUUAGUUGGUAGACUGUGACAUUGCAAAAGUGGAGUCUCAAGCCAUGGCGGAUAACAGGCGGCAGAAAAAGCAGUGAGGGAGCUUCUUGGGAUGUUUUACUUUAAGUAGAAAGUAAAACUGUGCAUGAAAAGAGGGGACAGAGUAUGCAACCCAAAUCAUCGCCAAGGCUCUUGGUUUCUUCUGUGCACACUGCCUGCCUUGUAUCCAAGCGUUUGACUGUGCAGAGGCCAGUCAUACUGGGGGACCCUGAGCACUACCCUUGGCAUUUGGGUAUAUCCUGAUCAAUAUAGCCAUUUCCACUGCUUGACAUUAUGUUUUGGGGGCUAGUUUUUUAAAGAUCAAUGAUUGAAUUGCUGCUCGGCUGAUUGGAUAUGUCUUCUCGGAGACUCACCUGUCCUCCCCGAAGAGAUGCUGACUACACAACAGCAGUCACUGUGCUGGGCACACGGGCAGUGUUCAGGAGACGUGGCUUCCUUUCUUCUUCUUUCAUUUCUUCCUGCCCAGAACAGCAAGGCUGAGACUGAUAAUAAAAUUCCUGGAACAUGGAGAAACUCAUGUGGGGAGAAAAGAAGAAAUGUAUUGUGACUUCCAUGGGCUUUUGGCACUUUUGGACCUCCCUCCUCCUCUUUUCCAUAAAAAAUGUAUUUUAAGACAUAUUGGUAUAAAGAUGAGAUUAUUCAUAGUACAUAUUAAAAUGUUUUCCCCUACCUAAAAGUUUGUGGUUUUAUUGUCUUCUUGUUUUUAAAAUAAAUUAAAAUAUUUUCAAAGGCCGUUAGAAGAACCGUGGGCCCUGGGCUUGGUGCCUGCUGUGCCUCAUAAAUCAGGCCUGGAGAAGAGACAUCAGUGACAUUUUAGUGUCAGGUAGAAAAUGUAAAAUAUCAUGAUUGUUUUCCAAUGAUAUACUAAGUAAGACACAUAAGAUGUGUUUUAAUUUUUUUCUUGAUGUAUGCUGUUGUCUUUUAGUUAUAAAUGCUGAGUACUGUUAAAAGAUAAACUGAGGCACAAUAAAAUUUGAAGAGUUUAUUUGAGCAAACAAUGAUUUGUUACCGAAACACCAGGGGUUCAUCUGGGUCCUGCUGCUUGCCACACAGAAAGCCAAUCACUGAG
RNAcentral lists this long non-coding RNA (6372 nucleotides) under Homo sapiens (human). Its description in RNAcentral is "long non-coding RNA NONHSAT172042.1". Lineage: Eukaryota; Metazoa; Chordata; Mammalia; Primates; Hominidae. The record is from RNAcentral.